GAAAAAAGUUUUAUUACAUUAGUGCUACUUGCAAAUCAAUGUUAUGGAGUUAUUUAUAGACUUGAUGAUGCUGAGUACGAACGUAUGCCGCCCUUGAUCCAACUCGACGACUAUGAAAACUGUUUCAACGAUGCCAACGCAUUGUACUGUACAUCCCAAUUCAAAUUAGUAUCAGAUACUUCCAGUGAACUUUAUAGUCUGAUAUCGAAUUAUUCCGAAUGGGAAAUAACGCAUUACGAUCAUACAAAAUUGUACCGAGGAAUUUGUGUAAGAAGAUCUUGUGGUGAAUAUAUUAAUAAAGAAUUAUUUUCAAAUAUAACAUACAUCGUUGAAGCUUGCGUGAAUAAAUCUUUAUGGAGAGACUACAGACUUAAAGCCACGUUGUUAAAUGCUCCUAGUUGUCGUUCAGCAGAUUAUAAAAUAGAAUUUGAUGAGAUGGAUAUAUUUGUAACAAUAUUAUGUACGUCCAUAUUUAUUAUCAACGUAGGUGGAACGUUGUAUGAUUUUUAUGCCAAAAAGAAAUCAAAGA
Papilio machaon (common yellow swallowtail) is the source of this 529-nucleotide long non-coding RNA. RefSeq lists it as uncharacterized. The transcript is spliced from 3 exons. The record is from RefSeq and is a predicted model, not a curated record. Lineage: Eukaryota; Metazoa; Arthropoda; Insecta; Lepidoptera; Papilionidae.